GACGAACGCUGGCGGCGUGCCUAAUACAUGCAAGUUGAGCGCUGAAGGUUGGUACUUGUACCGACUGGAUGAGCAGCGAACGGGUGAGUAACGCGUGGGGAAUCUGCCUUUGAGCGGGGGACAACAUUUGGAAACGAAUGCUAAUACCGCAUAAAAACUUUAAACACAAGUUUUAAGUUUGAAAGAUGCAAUUGCAUCACUCAAAGAUGAUCCCGCGUUGUAUUAGCUAGUUGGUGAGGUAAAGGCUCACCAAGGCGAUGAUACAUAGCCGACCUGAGAGGGUGAUCGGCCACAUCGGGACUGAGACACGGCCCAAACCCCUACGGGAGGCAGCAGUAGGGAAUCUUCGGCCAUGGCCGAAAGUCUGACCGAGCAACGCCGCGGGAGUGAAGAAGGGUCUCGGGUCGUAAAACUCUGUUGGUAGAGAAGAACGUUGGUGAGAGUGGAAAGCGCAUCAAGUGACGGUAACUACCCAGAAAGGGACGGCUAACUACGUG
This 497-nucleotide ribosomal RNA is filed under the name uncultured bacterium. RNAcentral describes it as "partial 16S ribosomal RNA". It matches the Rfam family "Bacterial small subunit ribosomal RNA", at positions 28 to 507 of the family's 1533-position model. The record is from RNAcentral.